AUUGAACGCUGGCGGCAGGCCUAACACAUGCAAAUCGAACGGUAACAGGAAGCAGCUUGCUGCUUUGCUGACGAGUGGCGGACGGGUGAGUAAUGUCUGGGAAACUGCCCGAUGGAGGGGGAUAACUACUGGAAACGGUAGCUAAUACCGCAUAACGUCGCAAGACCAAAGAGGGGGACCUUAGGGCCUCUUGCCAUCGGAUGUGCCCAGAUGGGAUUAGCUAGUAGGUGGGGUAACGGCUCACCUAGGCGACGAUCCCUAGCUGGUCUGAGAGGAUGACCAGCCACCCUGGAACUGAGACACGGUCCAGACUCCUACGGGAGGCAGCAGUGGGGAAUAUUGCACAAUGGGCGCAAGCCUGAUGCAGCCAUGCCGCGUGUAUGAAGAAGGCCUUCGGGUUGUAAAGUACUUUCAGCGGGGAGGAAGGGAGUAAAGUUAAUACCUUUGCUCAUUGACGUUACCCGCAGAAGAAGCACCGGCUAACUCCGUG
Molecule: ribosomal RNA, 490 nt
Filed under: uncultured bacterium
Lineage: Bacteria
Description: partial 16S ribosomal RNA
Rfam family: Bacterial small subunit ribosomal RNA
Source: RNAcentral